Molecule: long non-coding RNA, 378 nt
Organism: Alligator sinensis (Chinese alligator)
Lineage: Eukaryota; Metazoa; Chordata; Crocodylia; Alligatoridae
Exons: 2
Source: RefSeq, a predicted model, not a curated record
GCUAAACUGCGGAAGUGUCGGGAUAGCUAGAUACAGCCAGAAGAGGGCCCCAACAGGCUGAGUGCCAAGGGUGUUGUCCAUGGAUUGCAGCACAGGAAGGGGCGUCCAUGCUGCAAUAUCCUCUGCUGUUGUUCAUCGGUUUUUCAGAUCUCUUCAUCACUUGAAUCCGUUUCUGAAUCCCUGUCGUUAUUAUGUGGGUUGCAUCAUGAUGCCUCACAGCAUUUGCAGCUGAGACUGCAUGGCACGUGAGCCUGCUUGCACGAGUAUGCUGGUCCCCAAGAUGCGGUCUGGCACUUGAAACUUGUUAUCCGAAGAUAUUCUGCUGGUAGUGACUCACACGCAGUUAAGAUUCUAACAUAAUAAAGGGCUUAAUCAGUC